RNAcentral lists this ribosomal RNA (253 nucleotides) under uncultured bacterium. RNAcentral describes it as "partial 16S ribosomal RNA". It matches the Rfam family "Bacterial small subunit ribosomal RNA", at positions 524 to 776 of the family's 1533-position model. The record is from RNAcentral.
UACGUAGGGUGCAAGCGUUGUCCGGAAUUAUUGGGCGUAAAGAGCUCGUAGGCGGUCUGUCGCGUCUGCUGUGAAAACUCGGGGCUUAACCCCGGGCCUGCAGUGGGUACGGGCAGACUAGAGUGCAGUAGGGGAGACUGGAAUUCCUGGUGUAGCGGUGAAAUGCGCAGAUAUCAGGAGGAACACCGAUGGCGAAGGCAGGUCUCUGGGCUGUAACUGACGCUGAGGAGCGAAAGCAUGGGGAGCGAACAGG